GAGGGUAUAGCUCAGUGGUAGAGUGUGUGCUUAGCAUGCAUGAGGUCCUGGGUUCAAUCCCUAGUACCUCCG
Molecule: transfer RNA, 72 nt
Filed under: Camelus bactrianus (Bactrian camel)
Lineage: Eukaryota; Metazoa; Chordata; Mammalia; Artiodactyla; Camelidae
Also listed under: 3 other names
Rfam family: tRNA
About the family: Transfer RNA (tRNA) molecules are approximately 80 nucleotides in length. Their secondary structure includes four short double-helical elements and three loops (D, anti-codon, and T loops).
Source: Rfam by way of RNAcentral